Cornus florida is the source of this 604-nucleotide long non-coding RNA. RefSeq lists it as uncharacterized. The transcript has 3 exons. The record is from RefSeq and is a predicted model, not a curated record. Lineage: Eukaryota; Viridiplantae; Streptophyta; Magnoliopsida; Cornales; Cornaceae.
UAAAGGGUUGAGGACCUUACAAACUCCUUUUCUUCAUCUGGGUUUGGGGUUGGACAUAUUUUGAUCCGCCCUAUUUAAGCCUGUAAAACAGAAUUAAUGAACUCUAACCACCCCAACUCAUGCAGUCACUGUUAAAGCUAAGUAAACCUAACCACCUCCAUGUUUCUUAUGAAUUCAAUAAAAGCAUGCUGUUUAUUGCAACCACCUUCUUCCACCAUUUAUUUAUUUGUGUCUCGCCAGAGAAUAAGAACAGAAGAACUAUUGGGGGAGGAUGAAGAAGAAAAAGUACUAGCAGAAGCAAGGACAUCUGCCUCUGCCAAGCUUCUUCUGGUGUCAAAUUUGCCGAUAUUAUAUUAACAAUUCCUGGCUUGAUCAAUCCUCUACUCUUCUGGCCAUCUGCUCUGUUAGUCUGAAGUCAGUUGCCAGUCUACGGUCAUGACAUCCUCAUCUAAUAUGCGAUUGCUGUGAAUUAUGGUACCUCGCUUCGAGAGUUCUCAUCUCGAAGAAAAUCAAAAACUCUCUUUGGUGGGACUGGAAUCCAGAAAGAAGUUGCAGCACUGAGCACAAUACCGGGAGGCCUGCCCGGGUCAUCCAUACUUUUUCU